Molecule: ribosomal RNA, 343 nt
Filed under: Culex gnomatos
Lineage: Eukaryota; Metazoa; Arthropoda; Insecta; Diptera; Culicidae
Description: eukaryotic LSU rRNA
Rfam family: 5.8S ribosomal RNA (bases 1-97)
Source: RNAcentral
CGCGUCAGAAUGUGAACUGCAGGACACAUGAACACCGACAAGUUGAACGCAUAUUGCACAUCAUACAACAGUACGAUGUACACAUUUUUGAGUGCCUAUAUUUACCGAUUUAACUAUACGUUCGUGCGUGAACCCACACACGACGUAUGCGGAGUGACGUUUUCCCGCCUUCAGUGUGCGAUAAAACGUUCAAGAUAGUCAAACACGGACGGCACACUAGCUGCUGCUCGUUCGUGGUUGAUGAGUACACCCCACAAGCUCGGAGACGACUUGCGUGUGCAUCAUCAGCACCCACUUUGACCAAAAUCACCCCCCCACAUGUAGGCCUCAAAUAAUGUGUGAC